This 483-nucleotide ribosomal RNA is filed under the name uncultured bacterium. RNAcentral's name for it is "partial 16S ribosomal RNA". It matches the Rfam family "Bacterial small subunit ribosomal RNA", at positions 28 to 523 of the family's 1533-position model. The record is from RNAcentral.
GACGAACGCUGGCGGCGUGCUUAACACAUGCAAGUCGAACGAUGAAGCUGGAGCUUGCUCCGGUGGAUUAGUGGCGAACGGGUGAGUAACACGUGAGCAAUCUGCCCUUGACUCUGGGAUAACUGCGGGAAACUGUAGCUAAUACCGGAUAUGAGGCUCGAAGGCAUCUUCGGGUCUGGAAAGAAUUUCGGUCAAGGAUGAGCUCGCGGCCUAUCAGCUUGUUGGUGAGGUAAUGGCUCACCAAGGCGACGACGGGUAGCCGGCCUGAGAGGGUGACCGGCCACACUGGGACUGAGACACGGCCCAGACUCCUACGGGAGGCAGCAGUGGGAAAUAUUGCACAAUGGGCGCAAGCCUGAUGCAGCAACGCCGCGUGAGGGAUGAAGGCCUUCGGGUUGUAAACCUCUUUUAGCAGGGAAGAAGCGAAAGUGACGGUACCUGCAGAAAAAGCACCGGCUAACUACGUGCCAGCCGCCGCAGUAA